AUCCGAACACUUCGGGUUGGACAACUUAGCGUCCGAUUCCGAUCACUGUGAUGGUCGAAACCGCCCGUUCCUUUCAAUCGGUUUACCGGUCGGUCUCGGUCGGAUGGGGAAAUAACAAAAGAAGCCAAGGGAGAGGGAUUACAAUGAAGGAAGAAGAUAGAGAUGACUGGAAAAAAAAAAAAAGAAUAAAUCACGUGGACACACCAUGAAGCUGCUGUUCAUCAAUGGAUUCUUUCAAACAAAAGUCUUACUUACAAAUAAAAAAAUGAUGAACCCAGAAGAAUUUUGAAAAGGAAAAAAAAAAAAAAAAAAACUCUGCAAAUCUUCAACAACAUGGUUACUUUCAGAUCUAGAACUCAAAAAUGCAAUCUUUGCACAGCCUUGAGAGAUGAGAGAUGUGAGAGAUAACAUCACAGAUCAUAGUGAAGUCUGGUAGCAUAGUAGCAGCAAUGAAGAGUUUCCCUUUGCCAUAGCCAUGGCCUCUUCGGAACUAUAAAAAUGAUGAAGGUUUGAAAGUGUGAAAUUGUUUGGAUUUUUAAGUCAGGAACUUUAAAGAUUGAGAGAGAGAUUGACAGAGAGAGAGAUUUCAAAACGGUGAAGUUUAAAUUUUUUAGAUAGAAACUUUAAAGAUUAAAGAUUAAAAGGAAAAGAUAUUUGAAAUGAAUCUUUUAGUUUGCAGGUGAAGUCUUAUUUCCAAGGCAAAGUGUCAGGAUUGAGAGAGAGAGAAAGAUGCGAAAAGAUUUUAUUAAUUUUUAAAAAUAAUCGCUAUUUCAAAGGUUGUGAGAACAGGGAAAAAAAAAAUGUACUCUUUGCAAGGUAAAGAGAUAGUAAUAUAUAAUUGUUUACUCCAACUAUGUCUUAGGAUGAGGCACGACUGAGGAAAAAAUUCUACUUUUAUGUGUUUUUGUUCGGUCAGGUCGGUUUCACUCGAUGUUUGAACAAUUAAUCUGACGCCGACCGUCAACUCGUGAGAAAAUUAUUUUUGCAACCAUGGCCGACCGGGCCGGUCGGAUUGAGCGGGUCGGACUAAUUUUUGAACACCCCUAGCCGACACCACCAUCUUCAUCCACUGAUCUAGACUAUUUCUCUCUCUAUCUCUCCUCCUCCCGUCCCGCGCAACACUACCUUUAUCCUUGCCAUCGUUGAUCUGACGCCGAAAUCUGCAAAUUUGUAGAUCCAUUGUCCUUGGUUCGAACUUGCCAACCCAUAGGACAUAUUGGUGAUGGUCUUGAAGGCCUUCGUCACCAUGGUUUCCACAAGAAGAAAUGGAUCUCUCGACGCUGGCGGUAAUUCCACUAGAGCGUGGCUCUAUUGAUCCUCUGACGGACGGAGGCAGUGGCAGAGAAGCUCCAAGUUCCGGAAAAAAUGAUUCAACUCAGGCAAUUGCUCAAGGUUAGAAAAAAAAUAAUUUUUUUCUUUAAGAGACAUAAUUGUGUUUGUACGUCUUUUACUCAAUCUCUCUGAGGAUGACAUAUGAUUUGGUGAUAGAAGAUGAAAGUGAGGUAGGAUUUGGUAUGGCUUGGCAUUAGGUGCCUCUCAAAGAGACUGCUCUUCUUCAUUUUCUUCAUCUUCAUGAUCUCUGAUGAUGAUAAUCAUCUUAUGAGGAUACAUAUUAUUUGUAUAUGGUCAUAUCAUUGUGUUAUUAUUAUUUUUUUUUUUUUAA
Long non-coding RNA from Camellia sinensis, 1663 nucleotides. RefSeq lists it as uncharacterized. Lineage: Eukaryota; Viridiplantae; Streptophyta; Magnoliopsida; Ericales; Theaceae. The record is from RefSeq and is a predicted model, not a curated record.